GCCGGGGUGGCGAAAUUGGUAGACGCGUUCGACUUAAGAUCGAAUGUCCGAAAGGAUCUGUGGGUUCGAUUCCCACCCCCGGCA
Candidatus Kaiserbacteria bacterium is the source of this 84-nucleotide non-coding RNA. The record is from Rfam. Lineage: Bacteria; Candidatus Kaiseribacteriota.